CGUAGGCGGUUGUGUAAGUCAGAUGUGAAAUCCUCCGGCUCAACUGGAGAACUGCAUUUGAUACUGCAUGACUCGAGUAUUGGAGAGGGAAACGGAAUUCCCGGUGUAGAGGUGAAAUUCGUAGAUAUCGGGAGGAACACCGGUGGCGAAGGCGGUUUCCUGGCCAAAUACUGACGCUGAGGCGCGAAAGCGUGGGUAGCAAACAGGAUUAGAUACCCUGGUAGUCCACGUCGUAAACGGUGAGUGCUGGGUGUGGGAGGUGUAAUGCCUUCUGUGCCGAAGCUAACGCGUUAAGCACUCCGCCUGGGGAGUACGGCCGCAAGGUUGAA
Molecule: ribosomal RNA, 329 nt
Filed under: uncultured bacterium
Lineage: Bacteria
Description: bacterial SSU rRNA
Rfam family: Bacterial small subunit ribosomal RNA
Source: RNAcentral